GUGCCUGUAGAGGCAGUGAAUAGCCCAUUGGACUUUUAAUCCAAUGGUCUUGGGUUCGAAUCCCUCCUGGGAUG
Molecule: non-coding RNA, 74 nt
Organism: Trichonephila clavipes
Lineage: Eukaryota; Metazoa; Arthropoda; Arachnida; Araneae; Nephilidae
Source: the annotation of a GenBank genome assembly